This 521-nucleotide ribosomal RNA is filed under the name uncultured bacterium. RNAcentral's name for it is "bacterial SSU rRNA". It matches the Rfam family "Archaeal small subunit ribosomal RNA", at positions 345 to 866 of the family's 1478-position model. The record is from RNAcentral.
AACCUCCGCAAUGUGAGAAAUCGCGACGGGGGGAUCCCAAGUGCCAUUCUUAACGGGAUGGCUUUUCAUUAGUGUAAAGAGCUUUUGGAAUAAGAGCUGGGCAAGACCGGUGCCAGCCGCCGCGGUAACACCGGCAGCUCUAGUGGUAACAAUUUUUAUUGGGCCUAAAGCGUCCGUAGCCGGUUUAAUAAGUCUCUGGUGAAAUCCUGUAGCUUAACUGUGGGAAUUGCUGGAGAUACUAUUAGACUUGAGACCGGGAGAGGUUAGAGGUACUCCCAGGGUAGAGGUGAAAUUCUGUAAUCUUGGGAGGACCGCCUGUUGCGAAGGCGUCUAACUGGAACGGUUCUGACGGUGAGGGACGAAAGUUAGGGGCGCGAACCGGAUUAGAUACCCGGGUAGUCCUAACUGUAAACGAUGCGGACUUGGUGUUGGGGUGGCUUUGAGCUGCUCCAGUGCCGAAGGGAAGCUGUUAAGUCCGCCGCCUGGGAAGUACGGUCGCAAGACUGAAACUUAAAGGAAUU